Long non-coding RNA from Lolium rigidum, 2906 nucleotides. RefSeq lists it as uncharacterized. NCBI's taxonomy places the organism in Eukaryota, Viridiplantae, Streptophyta, Magnoliopsida, Poales, Poaceae. The transcript is spliced from 8 exons. The record is from RefSeq and is a predicted model, not a curated record.
GGUAUAAACGAUGCCCCCCAUAGGGGGCUUCACAGCGAUUUGAGAUUCUGGCCAUCGGAUUGGAUUCAUUGAGUGCAUCUCGGCCGUUCAUUUUUUUCACCACAUCAUAUAAAAAGGACACCCCAUAGUGAAAACCCUAGCCGCAUCUCUCCACUCCCCCCAAUCCCUGGGGCUGCAUCCUUUUCUCUCCCCAAUCCCCACGUUCCUCUCUCUCCCCCAAUCUUCUCAAGACACAUACCAUUUGAUGGUUUCCUCCAUGGCUAGGGCAGGGGAGAAGGAAAGCAUGGUGGAAUCGUUGAGGAGGCGGAGACCAACAUGGAGAAGAACCUGCUGCUCUCUCUCCCUUUACUCCCUGCCAUGCCCUAGCUCAUCCUUUCCCACAAUAAAAAGGAUUUCUGAUUUAGAUACUGGAGGAAGAAGAAGAGGUGGCAAGAAGAGGAGCAAGAGGAGGAGAAGGAAGAAGAGAAGAUCCCCACCUUUACUGUAUGAUUCCUCUUGAUCCAGAUCCAAGGGUUACUGCCCGGAGCAAAGUCGAUGGGGUGAAGUUGUCGAGAAAGGUGUGAAGUCAUGUUGCAGACGUGGAUUUUCCAUCCCAGGUGUCUCAGCAACACGUUUGGGAUGAUGUAUUUGCCAUCGUCGCACCACAUUUAGGUUGUAGGUGUGUGCAUAAGCCAUUUGUGUAAAUGCAUAAGAACAAAGACCGUUCAGGGAAGAAUACUAACACCUCAACUUGGAUUUUUUUACAUGUGUUGUUGCCUGACCGACAAAGAUUAUGCCGAUGUCACGAGAAGCUUGUCAUAAUAAAUUUGUGGGAUGGAGCUUCAGGAGUUUGCUGAUUUUUCUUUACAGCUUAUGGACUUGCUAAGAAGGAAUGUAAAGUGGAGGCAUCAGAGCUUGCUCUCUCAAAUCUUGGUCUGGUCAGUUAUAUAGGCUAUUGGACUAGAGUACUUUUGGAAUUUCUGAAGAAACAUAAGAGCAAUUUAUUUAUCAAUGCCAGUCAGCCAUUUAUUAAGGUGGCACCACUAUAAAGUGUCGACAAGAAAGAGCAUGGGUCGCUGCAGGCACAUCGUACAUGAGCACGACUCCGGCCGACGGACAAUGAGAGGCCAAUGAGGUGCUGAGAUAAGUGCUCAGGUUUACCUUGAAACAUAUAGUCUCUGAGUUGAUUGACCUGGAUAUUUGAGAAAAUGAGCAUACCAGAUUUUUUGCAAUGUUUUCCUGACCAAGCUUAGCACUGCACCUCGUCUUCGUUUAUUGCCACAAAUCUUUGGCCCCCUUAUGGUAUUGGAUAUAGGUGAUUUAAUCCAGAGUGCGCAGGUACCAUUGGAAUGCCCAUGUAAUUACAUUUGAAACUUCUAGCUAUUUUAUGUGAGAUCUGCAAGUUUCCCAAUCUUCUUAGUAUGUCUUUUGUCGGUCGACUGAACAUAAGGGAGAAGCUAGCUUUUCUUUCAAAUGCCAGACUUGGUUAUAUAUCUGGCUAAUUGGUUCCUUGAUAUACUGUUUUACAUGGAAUUCAUUUGUCCUAAAUAGGCGGAUGCUUUGGUGUCCACACAUGCGUCUAUUGCCUAAUUUUCAAAUUCAAUGUCAGAUCCACGAAAAUAAAAGCUGGUUCGGUUCCAAUGAAAUGUAUUUACUUUCAUGAAAAUAUGAGAUGUUACUGAUUUUUAAAUUUGUAACUUUUACUACAUAAUGUACCCAAUGACAACACUUUCUAGACUUCUACCUUUAUGUAAAGGAUAGGAAAAUAUUUCUGACUUGUAGUGAGCCUGAACACUGUGUGUUCAAUUUUAAUUCGACAGGAUAAGUAGGCCCCUCUUUAAUUUUUUAGAAACGAACUCAGAAACUUUGACAGUUCGAAGUUUUGCAUGCUUGCUAAUUAAAGAAGAUGCCUAUAGAAAGCAAAAUACGCAAAGAAACUCCCUGUAGUUUAGUUGCCCAUUUCGAAGGAAAUAUCUGCCGUUUGACGCUCAAACUGUUACGCUUAGCCAUUACAUCAAUGUAUAAGUUACUUGGCGGUAAGGUAUUCUUUCCCUCAUGAACAUUUGUAUUGAAGAAAUUGUUCUUUCUUCUUAUGAUAAUUAUAUAUACAUAUCAUACCCUUUUGCUCUGUUUAUUUUAUUAUGCCCACCCAAGGGCAUGCUACAGUGUUCCCCUUUUUACUUUGAUGGACUCUUAUUGGUGAUGAAAUGAGAGAGUUGUGAUUUUGUGUGUGUAUAAUAUAGCUGGGCGGAAUUGGCUGCGGAUCGGUCCAAAGUUCCUGUAUUCAGGCGCUACUUGCCGCAAGUAGGCCUCGGAUGUGAUUUUUCAAAUCUUAGAAAAGAACUCCAUUUGAAGAAACUGACUUAUUUGGUUCAUAAAUUCGUGCAUACAUUGCUUCCCGGUCUCUGUUAAAUGCAGUUAUUAGAAAGAGUUUAUACAUAUUAUGGAUUCUAUUUCUGUUGAUGCAGGUUUAUUAAUAGUUGUCAUCUACGUACUUAAUUAUCAUGGGUCGAUUCUCUUCCUAGCUUCUUUGUCAUGUAAGCUUUAGUAAAACAAAUGGCUCUGAGAUGUGUAACUGUUAGUGCUUAACAUCAAGAUGUGUCUAUGCCACAUAAGAGGUGGCCUGGCCUAUCUGUGCUUAAAAUUUUGGGCAUGAAUUUUCCCCUUGAUACCAGACUCUACUAAUGUAUCGGGCUGUCUACUAUUUUCAUAAUCUUUACAAGGUUUGGCUUGAAUCAUUGUGUAAAUACUACUAGCACUUUUAGAAUCAGCCAAGGAAAUUAUAUAUGUUUCUUCUUUUUUUGUGUGUGUAAAUUCAAUCAUGUCUAGCCCGAUCAUAGCCCAUUAGCUUGCAUAUAUACUAGCUUUGUACCAUACAAUACUUUCUCUUCAUAUAUUUAUAUUUAGUGUUAGCUUUGUCAAUUUUU